GUAAUGAUGGCGAAGAGGUCACACCCGUUCCCAUUCCGAACACGGAAGUUAAGCUCUUCAGCGCCGAUGGUAGUUGGGGGUUUCCCCCUGCGAGAGUAGGACGUUGCCAG
Molecule: ribosomal RNA, 110 nt
Filed under: Bacillus testis
Lineage: Bacteria; Bacillati; Bacillota; Bacilli; Caryophanales; Bacillaceae
Source: RNAcentral